This 427-nucleotide ribosomal RNA is filed under the name uncultured bacterium. Its description in RNAcentral is "bacterial SSU rRNA". It matches the Rfam family "Bacterial small subunit ribosomal RNA", at positions 355 to 774 of the family's 1533-position model. The record is from RNAcentral.
UGGGGAAUUUUGGACAAUGGGCGCAAGCCUGAUCCAGCCAUGCCGCGUGGGUGAAGAAGGCCUUCGGGUUGUAAAGCCCUUUCGGCCGGGAAGAAAACGUGCGGGCGAACAGUCUGCAUGGAUGACGGUACCGGAAGAAGAAGCACCGGCUAACUACGUGCCAGCAGCCGCGGUAAUACGUAGGGUGCGAGCGUUAAUCGGAAUUAUUGGGCGUAAAGCGUGCGCAGGCGGCGCCAUAAGACAGCUGUGAAAUCCCCGGGCUUAACCUGGGAACUGCGGUUGUGACUGUGGUGCUAGAGUACGGCAGAGGGAGGUGGAAUUCCUGGUGUAGCAGUGAAAUGCGUAGAGAUCAGGAGGAACACCGAUGGCGAAGGCAGCCGCCUGGGCUGAUACUGACGCUCAUGCACGAAAGCGUGGGGAGCAAACA